CGCUCUUUGAAUUGGAGGCAGAAAAACAUAUCUAUUGCUGCCACCGUUUGCCGAUUCCCGUGUGGUCCGCUCACCAUGCAGUCUUGCUUGAGGAGCGACCAGGUGAUGAACUCCAGCAGGGGCAGCAGGCUGACCAGACGCUUCUUCUUGAGGCCCAGAAGACGCAGCACUUUGCCCAUCUCGUCGCUCUGCACCCCGCAGCUCUGAAGAGACCAGUCGAGCAUAUUUCAAUCAUGCUAACAUACAAUGUCAAACCCCAUAGACUAGCUAAGUGAAGUUAGCAUAGAUGUUGCAAAAUUCAAAACUACGCUCGUCCGCAACUCUCCAUGAAGCUGACUUGAAUGUGUUUUGCUUGGGGAAGCGGUUUCUCACCUCAGAGACCGUUUGGACCUCCCGAGCCCACUCCAUGACCCUCACUUGUACAUCCACAUUGGCAUCAAAGUUCUUCUUGGGUUCUUGAGUCUCAGGUGCCCAGGGGUUGGCCUCCAGAAGCUGAAGACGUACAAGUCGGCACGUGAGAUUUGUUUUGCGGGCCUUUGCCUGUCACGCCGACCAACCUUGUCCACAUGGCGUAGUUCGUCGGCCCACUCCAGGAUGAGUUUAUGGCUUUCCUCCAAACUACGCUCGGUGCGCGAGUGGAUCUUCUCGGCCUUGCUUGACGUUCCCUCUGAUUUGGAUCCGUCGCUCUGGAGAAGUCAAGUGAAGUUUAUUUAUAUAGCCCUAAAUCGCAAGCAGUCUCAAAUGGCUUCACAUAUACAAAACAAACAGAGAAGAGCAAAUUAUUUUUUGGUUUGUUUUCUGUCGAACUGUUGCCAUUUCUUCUAUUUUAAUUAGUUGUCCAGUAUUUCAGACGGGCAAUUUCCAUAUAUACCUUGCAAACCUGGUCCACUUGCUCCUUCCAGUGUUGGAUGAAUUGCACGCACUCCUGCAGGCUGCGCAGGUCUUUCAGGCCGUUCUGGCGAGGCUGCUGCUGGUGCUGAAAACAUACCCAGUCAACUUUGACCCUCCACAAAAUUUUUAAAAAAAAA
This is a long non-coding RNA of Syngnathus acus (greater pipefish), 1028 nucleotides long. RefSeq lists it as uncharacterized. The record is from RefSeq and is a predicted model, not a curated record. The transcript has 2 exons. Lineage: Eukaryota; Metazoa; Chordata; Actinopteri; Syngnathiformes; Syngnathidae.